RNAcentral lists this ribosomal RNA (253 nucleotides) under uncultured bacterium. RNAcentral describes it as "partial 16S ribosomal RNA". It matches the Rfam family "Bacterial small subunit ribosomal RNA", at positions 524 to 776 of the family's 1533-position model. The record is from RNAcentral.
UACGAAGGUGGCAAGCGUUACUCGGAAUUACUAGGCGUAAAGGGCAGGUAGGUGGUUCAGUAAGUCUGUUGUGGAAGCUCUCGGCUUAACCGGGAGAGGCCAACGGAAACUACUGGGCUUGAGUGUAGGAGAGGGUAUUGGAAUUCCCGGUGUAGCGGUGAAAUGCGCAGAUAUCGGGAGGAACACCAAUGGCGAAAGCAGAUACCUGGACUAUUACUGACACUAAGCUGCGAAAGCUAGGGGAGCAAACAGG